GGCUCUUUAAAAAAAGAAAAGAAAAAAAAGAGGAAAAGAGCAUGGGUUUUAAGGCCACGCAGAAACGCUUUUUUAACGAAAUAGCAGCCAUAAAAAGUGUUCUAAAAAAAAGUGAGGGAAUUAAAAAAAAAAAAAUAGAAAAAAAGAACCGUUUUAACUGUAAAUAAUUUGUUAACUGACAGGAGCGGAUGUGCAGGAGUUCCAGCACAAUGGCGGACGUGUCAUUGCUUUCACGUGGAUUAUAGCCUCUCCGCACUCUUUCCACCCUGACUUUUUAGGAGAAUCUCCAUCGAGCGAGAUUAAGGUGAUCAUUUCUCUCUUUAAAAAAAAAAAAAAAAAAUUAUUAUCAUUAUUAUACUUUUUGCUGUUUUCUUUUCUCUACUGGCAGGUCCUGGUGAUGGUUAUUCUUGUAAAACCCAUGAAGAUUUUCUUCCGUCGUGAAAUCCGGAUUUGUAGGUUUGUUUAUAAUUUAAUACAUUUUAUUUAAUUUAACUAAAUAUUUUCUGAAUUACAGUAUAUAUUUUACUUGCAUAUUUCUUGAGUCUAAAUUUGCUUGGUCUUUGCAAACGCACUGCAAUAAUUUUAUUAGAAAACUAUUUCAGUUUUGCUAAAAUAACCACUUACAUUUCUGCUAAAUAAAUGCUUGUUUUUAUUGAAAUUGGCCAUAUAUGUAAUUUUCUCCAUUGGUGCACGCUUGCACCAGAACAUAAUUUUUUUUUUAUUAUUAUUAUUAUAAUAAAUCAGAUGCUGUGGGUUAUUAGAUGCAUAUUAGCAGCUUUAUUUGAAUUAUUCAUGUGCAGGAUCUUUCACUGUGUAAUGCUCUUUAUUAAGCCUGAUUUAUAGUUUUAUUAAUGAAGAUAUUAUGUUUAUUCCAAUUAUAGUCUGUUAAAUUAAAAAUUGAAUGGUAACUGAUUUUUAUUUAUUUAUUUGCAAAAAAAAAAAAAACACAUAGAAUUAGUGUUUUUUAUUUGGUUGUGUUUAGAAGUUGGAGGAGUUGCAUAGAAAUGGAAGCGUUUCUUAGUCUGCAAGUGUCCAUGGGUUGAGUUUGUGUGUUCCUGUCUGUGGAUCUGUGUGGAUGCAGGCACAGACUGAGCAGCAGGCGGCGACAGAGUGAGGCCACAGUCUGCAGGAGGGAAGUUCAUGAGCAAACUGGGCCUGUGCUGCCCCUGAACGAGCUGCGUAAAACCAGACCCAAACACAAAAGCUGACAUUAAAUUCAUUUGGGCUUAAAAGAGUCAUCAGCCCCAAAUGAAGAAUAUGGUCCAGAGAUACAGGACUCUUUCUAUAGUCUACAUCCAUGCAUUAAAUCCGGGCCUUUUCCAAGCCUUACUCCCUACAAAUCGCUCCGAUCGGAUCAAAGUGAUGCUUAAACAUGUCAGUCAAUGCGUCCAAAGGCGCACGGGGCUGUUCAUCAACUGAAACAGGAACAAUCAAUCGCUUUAUUAGGUUUAAGGCGCCGCAGGAGCAAAUUGAAUGCUACCAGUUAGGAUAUCGUCUUAUUGGCCUCAGCUGAUGGUCGAUGAUGGGACAGUGUAAUAGUGGCUGGCACCAUAUUGAUUCUUUGGCGGCUUUGCGUGUAAGCUGUCACUUCACCGCUGGCGACCUUUAGGUUGCACAGUUGCAGCGUUUACAAAGAGACACCCCGCAUUUAGGCUGUCAAUCACCGCAGGGAGGAUGCUGGACCAGACACACAGGAGGUUUAGUUACAAAAAAAAAAAAAAAAAAAAAGAACAGAAAGAAAAAAAAAUGUCAUCAGUUAAAAUUAACACUGAGUUGCAAAGUGCAAAGUGCAGAUGUGUUUCUUUAGUUUCACUCAUCCUACUAAAAUAGAUGAGAGGUCAUUUCAUGGGUUAGAAGUUAUAUGAAAAAUGUUAAAGGCUGAGAUUUUUUGCACCAGAUAAAAUGCAUUAAAGUAACACCUUUCUCCACUAAAAAAAAAAAUAAGGAAAGAAAUAAAAAUAGCAUUUUUAUAUUUUCCACUUCUAAAAAAAAAUCAUGCACCUGUUACAUUUAUGCAACCAGUGACUAAAAUGCAACUUAGUGUAAAUAAAGUUGAGGUCAAGAAUAUUUCACAUUAAAAAAUAUUAUUGAGAAAAUUUAAAUUUGUUAAAGACUGCAUGAUUCUGAAACAAAAUUCGUAAUUAGUUGCAAAUACUCACACAGGCUUGAUUAUAAACCUUUAAAAAAUAGAUCAAUUAAAUACUUUGUAAAAAAAAAAAAUAAUAAUAAUUCAUGAUGGUAAAUUAUAGUGAGUAUUAGUUUGAUAAUGUUAUGGAAUGGAUGCGUCCAGAGCUGUGGCAUGUGCAGGGUGUGGUCUGAAGUCUGACUGACCGUCCCAUCAUCGUCCUUGACAGAUGGUUGGGGAAUUAUAUUGAUUAAAAGCUGCAAAAGGACAAACUAUCCAAUGGUAUGUAUGAUUUGGUUGUCAGAUACUAAUGAAAAAUGUCAAUAAAGACAGAAAAAAAGCGUUAAGGAAAAUCAAUGCGUGUUAUAAAUGUGAAUAAUCUAAAUGUUUUUUGCUCAUAUCAAACUCCCAUCAUGCCUGCAGGAUUCUGCUCACUCCCAAUAACCAAAUCCUUUACAAUCCUAGAACAGUGUUACUGCAGAGCACCGUGUUGCAAUGAUGUUUUAUUUCAAGUAAAGGAAAAAAAAAAAAAAAAAAAGUGUAAAUGAAGCUCCCUGACUUCAAGACAAUUUUAACACCUGGGCACAUCGAGGUCUUAUGUGUAAGUAUCAAGCAAAUAUAACACAAUUAGUGUUUUUUGUGCUGCUGACAUUCCCCGGAGGUCACAGCAAGCCAAGAGAAAAUGUAUGGUUUACAUGAGAAUUGUGAAAACAGGAGCAGGAGCAGCUUCAGCCAUCUUUUAUGCUAAUUGACAGCAAAGUUGGGACUGAACUGAAACAUGUAUAUUACUCUGAAGCAUCAUCUCUCACAAUGAGCAGCGCGUUCUUGAUCUGUGGGAACUUUGUGGAUGUUCUCUGGUCUCGGAACAUGUGUUGGGAAAGAAAUUUAAUGCGAGCGUUCACGGUGUUUGGCAAAUUUGAAGAUUUUCAGCUCUAAAAACAGAAGCACAUUUAGGAGUUAGAUUGAUAUAUUUAUUUCCUGUAAAACUGUAAAAAUGUUGGUCAAGCUUUUGGCUUAGAAUACAUCUAGGGUCUGUGAGCUGGGGUAUACAUAUGUAGCGUGGAUAGUGUGAAGAAAUGCAGCUUUUAUUUCUAUUUUAAUUACCUAAACUGUGACUGGUGCAUGUAGUGGGAAAACGGUUUACAUUUUCCUUGCAGAUUUAGUGUGUGAUUUUUCCUGUAAUAAAAAGAAUGUAGUGAAGAUGUGAAGUUGUGGAGGCUGAUAGAAAACAAAUCAGUGAGAAGAGCUUUCAUUUACUUGUAAAUUUAAUUCUUAAUAUUUCACUUUUAGUUAACUUCAGUAGUUUUUAAUGCCUGUAUAAACAUAAAAAUGCAUCUGUUAAAUAUUUAUUGUUGAGAAAUUAAGAACUCAACCUAUAAAGUUUUAAUUACUUUCUUACGAAUGAAUAGACCUGUUAAAUAUUGAUUUAUCUUGACCAUACUGUCCUAUUUUAACAUAAAUGAUGGACCGAGCACACAUCGUUUACCAUAGCAUGUGAAUGAGUUAUUAAUAAAACAUGAGUAUGAUAGUCUGGUUUUGCAGGGUGAUUGUUUUGAAUUGUGAGUGUUUUUAGACUUUUACAACUAUAUUAAGGCUCAGAGGGAACAUGCAGGACGACGUGCUUCUCCUCUGGCCAACGAACAGCAUUUUUCAUUUCAGCGUGAUGGAAAAGGCUAAGAUGAUGUGAUGGGAAUCAAAUUUUGAAUGCAAAAUUACAUCCCAGGAGCUUUGGAAUUAAAGGUUGCAACAUGAGAGCGAUCUGACAUUUACAAUGCUCCCUUUCAGAAUGGACACACUGUAUAUUAUCUCAACCUCUAAACGUCAUUUUCUGCUCAUGAGCCUGUGCUGUAAUGAAACAUGUGACAUUCAAGUUCAAUUUCAAGUGUAGGUUAGUAUUAUUCUAUGGCGUGCAAUUCAAAACAUAAUAAAAAAAAAAAAAGGGGGGGGGGGUACAACUUGAGUAAAACCUACUUUUAUUUAUCAAAGGUGAAUGCACUGGGCUUGAAUACUUCUGAUUCUAAUAAAAUAUUCUGAAAACCUG
Sphaeramia orbicularis (orbiculate cardinalfish) is the source of this 4166-nucleotide long non-coding RNA. RefSeq lists it as uncharacterized. The transcript is spliced from 2 exons. NCBI's taxonomy places the organism in Eukaryota, Metazoa, Chordata, Actinopteri, Kurtiformes, Apogonidae. The record is from RefSeq and is a predicted model, not a curated record.